ACGUUGGAUACUGGAGCGGGGAAGGAUUUCGUGCCAACGGCACUCGUACACGAGUUGUUCGGAUACUGAGCACAACGUUACACCGUUUUGUUAGGAAAGUGAAGGUGCGUCGGCGGCGUGCGUUUUUUUUUUGGUUUUUUUUUUUUUUUUAAAAAAAAAAAAAAAAAAGGCGCCCCCCCCUGGGCCUUUUUGAAAAGGGGGAAAAA
RNAcentral lists this ribosomal RNA (206 nucleotides) under Trypanosoma caninum. RNAcentral's name for it is "partial large subunit ribosomal RNA". The record is from RNAcentral. Lineage: Eukaryota; Euglenozoa; Kinetoplastea; Trypanosomatida; Trypanosomatidae.